Long non-coding RNA from Bubalus bubalis (water buffalo), 911 nucleotides. RefSeq lists it as uncharacterized. The record is from RefSeq and is a predicted model, not a curated record. The transcript has 2 exons. Lineage: Eukaryota; Metazoa; Chordata; Mammalia; Artiodactyla; Bovidae.
GCUCAAGAUAACACAGAGCUGGGACCCUGGGAACAAAAGGACCUAGUGUUGACUGGAGGCCCAUCAUGUGAUGGACAUCACCCUGGGUUCCUCACGUGCCUAAGUGUUCUCGCUUAUCUCCCACAAGAACCUCAGGGUCGUUUGAGAAUUGUAAUGGAUGCCUAUUGAAUGAAUGAUUGAAUGGAUGACUGUUAAUUGCACGCCUUCCUUUUUAGUCAUUUAUACACGGCCCGUAUCUUUUGCAUCUCUCUGUAGAAUCCUGUUCUUUCACCACUUCUGUUUUCUUAAACCUAUGGUAUCCAUUCAGAAUGACCCCUAACUGUGAGGAUCCACUGAAAGAACUGCAUUCAUGUCCCUGUUGUCUAAAAGGAAGUCAAGAAUCCAAAGCUCAGAGUACAAAGAGUAGAUUUUGUGAAUUUCUCAACUCGAGCCCAAAACCCUAGCAUAUAAACAGUAAUCUGCGUGUUUAUAUUCUUAGCUUUCCAGAGAGACUGAGGGGCAUGGAAUGUGUGAUUCUUGUUCCUUCUUCAUGGGAGUCACAUUCUUGUCAAGCGUGCAAAUGGAAAAUAAUCCUAUACUCCAGCGACAAAGCGGAAUAACAUGCCGUGUCUGGAAACAAAAGAAGAUUAUGGGCCAGGGAUCCAUGAGGUUUCAAGAGAGUCUACUGAUGAAUGAAGUUGGAAGGAGUUGACACACGGUCAGAGAUGGUUAACAUCCAGAAAUUCUUACAAAGUAACAGCAAUUCUUUUCCAUUAAUCCCGCCUUGCCUCUUUGAUCUUGAAUGGUACCAUGGCUACAAGUUAAGUGCAGAGUUACCCUGGCAUUAAAGGGCCCCAAAGACCUUGCCUUGGAGAAGCAUUCUUCGAGAACUUGGAAGAUUAAAAAUAACAACGAUAAUAAAAACAAACAAA